RNAcentral lists this ribosomal RNA (253 nucleotides) under uncultured bacterium. Its description in RNAcentral is "partial 16S ribosomal RNA". It matches the Rfam family "Bacterial small subunit ribosomal RNA", at positions 524 to 776 of the family's 1533-position model. The record is from RNAcentral.
UACGUAGGGGGCAAGCGUUGUCCGGAAUCAUUGGGUGUAAAGCGCGUGUAGGCGGCUCGGUAAGUCCGCUCUGAAAGUCCAGGGCUCAACCCUGGGAUGCGGGUGGAUACUGCCGGGCUCGAGUCCGGAAGAGGCGAGUGGAAUUCCCGGUGUAGCGGUGAAAUGCGCAGAUAUCGGGAGGAACACCAAUGGCGAAGGCAGCUCGCUGGGACGUGACUGACGCUGAGACGCGAAAGCGUGGGGAGCGAACAGG